Molecule: ribosomal RNA, 738 nt
Filed under: Acinetobacter calcoaceticus
Lineage: Bacteria; Pseudomonadati; Pseudomonadota; Gammaproteobacteria; Moraxellales; Moraxellaceae
Description: bacterial SSU rRNA
Rfam family: Bacterial small subunit ribosomal RNA
Source: RNAcentral
ACACUGCAGUCGAGCGGAGAGAGGUAGCUUGCUACUGAUCUUAGCGGCGGACGGGUGAGUAAUGCUUAGGAAUCUGCCUAUUAGUGGGGGACAACAUUUCGAAAGGAAUGCUAAUACCGCAUACGUCCUACGGGAGAAAGCAGGGGAUCUUCGGACCUUGCGCUAAUAGAUGAGCCUAAGUCGGAUUAGCUAGUUGGUGGGGUAAAGGCCUACCAAGGCGACGAUCUGUAGCGGGUCUGAGAGGAUGAUCCGCCACACUGGGACUGAGACACGGCCCAGACUCCUACGGGAGGCAGCAGUGGGGAAUAUUGGACAAUGGGCGCAAGCCUGAUCCAGCCAUGCCGCGUGUGUGAAGAAGGCCUUAUGGUUGUAAAGCACUUUAAGCGAGGAGGAGGCUACUUUAGAUAAUACCUAGAGAUAGUGGACGUUACUCGCAGAAUAAGCACCGGCUAACUCUGUGCCAGCAGCCGCGGUAAUACAGAGGGUGCAAGCGUUAAUCGGAUUUACUGGGCGUAAAGCGCGCGUAGGCGGCUAAUUAAGUCAAAUGUGAAAUCCCCGAGCUUAACUUGGGAAUUGCAUUCGAUACUGGUUAGCUAGAGUGUGGGAGAGGAUGGUAGAAUUCCAGGUGUAGCGGUGAAAUGCGUAGAGAUCUGGAGGAAUACCGAUGGCGAAGGCAGCCAUCUGGCCUAACACUGACGCUGAGGUGCGAAAGCAUGGGGAGCAAACAGGAUUAGAUAC